GAAGAACUUACCAGGUCUUGACAUCCUCUGAAAACCCUAGAGAUAGGGCUUCUCCUUCGGGAGCAGAGUGACAGGUGGUGCAUGGUUGUCGUCAGCUCGUGUCGUGAGAUGUUGGGUUAAGUCCCGCAACGAGCGCAACCCUUGAUCUUAGUUGCCAUCAUUAAGUUGGGCACUCUAAGGUGACUGCCGGUGACAAACCGGAGGAAGGUGGGGAUGACGUCAAAUCAUCAUGCCCCUUAUGACCUGGGCUACACACGUGCUACAAUGGACGGUACAAAGAGCUGCAAGACCGCGAGGUGGAGCUAAUCUCAUAAAACCGUUCUCAGUUCGGAUUGUAGGCUGCAACUCGCCUACAUGAAGCUGGAAUCGCUAGUAAUCGCGGAUCAGCAUGCCGCGGUGAAACGUU
This 406-nucleotide ribosomal RNA is filed under the name bacterium V7(2015). RNAcentral describes it as "bacterial SSU rRNA". It matches the Rfam family "Bacterial small subunit ribosomal RNA", at positions 963 to 1366 of the family's 1533-position model. The record is from RNAcentral.